RNAcentral lists this ribosomal RNA (376 nucleotides) under uncultured bacterium. RNAcentral describes it as "bacterial SSU rRNA". It matches the Rfam family "Bacterial small subunit ribosomal RNA", at positions 524 to 898 of the family's 1533-position model. The record is from RNAcentral.
UACGUAGGAGGCGAGCGUUGUCCGGAUUUACUGGGCGUAAAGGGCGCGCAGGCGGCACGUCAAGUACCUCGUGAAAUCUCCCUGCUCAACGGGGAGGGAGCGAAGUAGACUGGCGAGCUAGAGGACGGUAGAGGGGGGUAGAACUGCUGGUGUAGCGGUGAAAUGCGUAGAGAUCAGCAAGAAUACCCGUGGCGAAGGCGGCCCCCUGGGCCGAACCUGACGCUGAGGCGCGAAGGCUAGGGGAGCGAACGGGAUUAGAUACCCCGGUAGUCCUAGCAGUAAACGAUGGCCACUAGGUGUGGGGGGUGUUGACCCCUUCCGUGCCGAAGCUAACGCAUUAAGUGGCCCGCCUGGGGAGUACGGUCGCAAGACUAAA